This 433-nucleotide ribosomal RNA is filed under the name uncultured bacterium. Its description in RNAcentral is "partial 16S ribosomal RNA". It matches the Rfam family "Bacterial small subunit ribosomal RNA", at positions 29 to 507 of the family's 1533-position model. The record is from RNAcentral.
AACGAACGCUGGCGGCAGGCCUAACACAUGCAAGUCGAGCGGACCCUUCGGGGUUAGCGGCGGACGGGUGAGUAACGCGUGGGAAUAUGCCCUUCUCUACGGAAUAGUCCUGGGAAACUGGGGGUAAUACCGUAUACGCCCUUUGGGGGAAAGAUUUAUCGGGGAAGGAUUAGCCCGCGUUGGAUUAGGUAGUUGGUGGGGUAAUGGCCUACCAAGCCGACGAUCCAUAGCUGGUUUGAGAGGAUGAUCAGCCACACUGGGACUGAGACACGGCCCAGACUCCUACGGGAGGCAGCAGUGGGGAAUCUUAGACAAUGGGGGCAACCCUGAUCUAGCCAUGACGCGUGAGUGAUGAAGGCCUUAGGGUUGUAAAGCUCUUUCAGCUGGGAAGAUAAUGACGGUACCAGCAGAAGAAGCCCCGGCUAACUCCGUG